GGAAGGGUCGCAUAGUAGGUCUAGUGCGGCGGUUUGCUAAACCGCUGACCGGGGUUUCCUGGUCCGUGGGUUCGAAUCCCACCCCUUCCG
This 90-nucleotide transfer RNA is filed under the name Chloroflexota bacterium. RNAcentral's name for it is "tRNA-Ser". It matches the Rfam family "tRNA". From Rfam's summary of the family: Transfer RNA (tRNA) molecules are approximately 80 nucleotides in length. Their secondary structure includes four short double-helical elements and three loops (D, anti-codon, and T loops). Further hydrogen bonds mediate the characteristic L-shaped molecular structure. tRNAs have two regions of fundamental functional importance: the anti-codon, which is responsible for specific mRNA codon recognition, and the 3' end, to which the tRNAs corresponding amino acid is attached (by aminoacyl-tRNA synthetases). tRNAs cope with the degeneracy of the genetic code in two manners: having more than one tRNA (with a specific anti-codon) for a particular amino acid; and 'wobble' base-pairing, i.e. permitting non-standard base-pairing at the 3rd anti-codon position. Lineage: Bacteria; Bacillati; Chloroflexota. RNAcentral also lists the same sequence under 2 other names. The record is from RNAcentral.